ACCAAUGGGAGCCCGACGAGCAGGUGGUGCUUCCUAUUGACUGAUCUCAAGCCAAAGUCAGAACAAAAGAAACACUUAAUUCACUUAAUUCAGACAAUGAUGUUGGUCUAAUGGAUUAUAGACCAGAGUGGAGAAGAUCAGAAAAAAGAUGUGAACAGAUAUGCCUUCAAUAAGAAGAAGAAUAAAGAUGUGAAUCAAGUGUUGUGGAGAUAAAACAGGGUAAAGCUUGGAUCUGGAGACCAGGCAUCCUAAAACUGCAGGCUUUGGUCCAAUUCUGAAGACAACUGGAGAAAACAUGCACACACAGCAUCACCUCUGCCCAUUUCCUUUUUAUCAUGGAGACUUGUUUCCUGUAUACUCUUGAAAUAAACAAAUGAACAAGCCUGGAUAAAAUGAAGACUUGAAUGUUACAACUCCGUUUUGUAAUUGAUUAGUUCUUCAACAGGAAAAA
Molecule: long non-coding RNA, 451 nt
Organism: Neogale vison (American mink)
Lineage: Eukaryota; Metazoa; Chordata; Mammalia; Carnivora; Mustelidae
Exons: 4
Source: RefSeq, a predicted model, not a curated record